UACGUAGGUGGCAAGCGUUGUUCGGAAUUACUGGGCGUAAAGGGCUCGUAGGCGGCCAACUAAGUCGGACGUGAAAUCCCCAGGCUCAACCUGGGAACUGCGUCCGAUACUGGAUGGCUUGAAUCCGGGAGAGGGAUGCAGAAUUCCAGGUGUAGCGGUGAAAUGCGUAGAUAUCUGGAGGAAUACCGGUGGCGAAGGCGGCAUCCUGGACCGGCAUUGACGCUGAGGAGCGAAAGCUAGGGGAGCGAACCGG
This 253-nucleotide ribosomal RNA is filed under the name uncultured bacterium. Its description in RNAcentral is "partial 16S ribosomal RNA". It matches the Rfam family "Bacterial small subunit ribosomal RNA", at positions 524 to 776 of the family's 1533-position model. The record is from RNAcentral.